Molecule: long non-coding RNA, 526 nt
Filed under: Marmota monax (woodchuck)
Lineage: Eukaryota; Metazoa; Chordata; Mammalia; Rodentia; Sciuridae
Source: RNAcentral
AAGAAAUCAAAACUUUUUCACCACUACUAGGCUAUUUAUUCUGCAAAGAAGACUACAAAUGUAGAGAAUGUAGAAACAUUUUUAAUUAUAUAUCACACAUUACUAGACAUUCAAGAAAACACACUGGAGAGAAGCUCUACAAAUAAGACCUUUGUACCAUUUCUUUAAGGAUGGGUCAACAUUUAAUACUCUCCACAAUCAUCACAGCAGAGAGAAAUUUUUGAAAUGUGAAAAUUGACAAUGUGACAAUGCCUCCAUAAUUGAUUCACCAAUACUCAGCACCUGAGGAUACAUACUGGUUAGAGAGAAUACAAAUGGGAAAAACAAAUGUUUCAAAGCCGCAUGUUUCUUAAACACUACUGAUUUGUAGGGAAUUUGUUGUGCCCAGAAAACCUAAAUAGUUAAAUAAUAUUUCUAAAACUUAUUCAAAUUUUCAAUUCAUUGAACAUUUUAAAUCUCAUACCAGAGUGAACAUUGAACAUAUUUUGUCCAAAAUGAAUGCCUUAUAUAACAACAAAACAUUUAC